AACGCGAAGAACCUUACCAGGUCUUGACAUCCCGCUGAAAUCUUUAGAGAUAAAGGCUUCCUUCGGGACAGCGGAGACAGGUGGUGCAUGGUUGUCGUCAGCUCGUGUCGUGAGAUGUUGGGUUCAGUCCCGCAACGAGCGCAACCCUUAUCUUUAGUUGCCAGCAUUAAGUUGGGCACUCUAGAGAGACAGCCGGCGAAAGCCGGAGGAAGGUGGGGAUGACGUCAAAUCAUCAUGCCCCUUAUGACCUGGGCUACACACGUGCUACAAUGGCUGCGACAGAGGGACGCGAACUCGCGAGGGGGAGCAAAUCCCAGAAAAGCAGUCACAGUUCGGAUCGUAGGCUGCAACUCGCCUACGUGAAGUCGGAAUCGCUAGUAAUCGCAGAUCAGCAUGCUGCGGUGAAUACGUUCCCGGGCCUUGUACACACCGCACGA
RNAcentral lists this ribosomal RNA (437 nucleotides) under uncultured bacterium. Its description in RNAcentral is "bacterial SSU rRNA". It matches the Rfam family "Bacterial small subunit ribosomal RNA", at positions 958 to 1397 of the family's 1533-position model. The record is from RNAcentral.